UAUUCCCACAAAAUUGUGUUCGUUUCUUCGAACGUUCUGACUCCAAAAAAAAUUUGCAAAAAUGAUUAAAUUUAUAAUUAAUUUACAUCUAUUUUUAAUUCAACUUAUUUUAUAUUGGAAAUCAGUUACGGAGGAAUUUGGUUGCGACUCUGAAACAUCAAUUAAAUCUUGCAUUGUAGCUUUAGCCUUUGUUAUAGGAACUGACCGGGUGCUGUUGAAAAUCCUAUUCGAACCCUCGAAAUUAUUUCCAUCAAGUCUUUUCUAUGAUGUCUGUCUUGUUAUUAUUAAUUUAUUUCAGAUGCCAAUGAUUUUUACUGGAAACGAUAUAUUUCUAGCAAUUUUUAAAAACUUUCUAAUGGCUGAUAAAGAAUCUAAAUCUUGGAGUAAUAUUGGAUUUCAGUUUUGGACCAAAACAAAUGAAAAAGAACCGACAUAUCUUGGUUACAUUGUGGCUUGUGUGCUAUUAUGUGCAGGAAUAUUGCCAAUAAGAAAGAUUUAUAAAUCAAUGCAGAGAGGUUUUGGAUUUAAACAGUAGUAUUUGAUGUUAUAAUAACGGGUCCUGACUGAUUUUGGAAUUCCAACUGCCCAAUACCGGUAUAUCAAACCUAAUUGUCAAAGUUUGUCAAGUAAAUGAUGAAUUUCUAAAAAAAAAUUGAGAAAAUCAUG
Molecule: long non-coding RNA, 666 nt
Organism: Teleopsis dalmanni
Lineage: Eukaryota; Metazoa; Arthropoda; Insecta; Diptera; Diopsidae
Exons: 3
Source: RefSeq, a predicted model, not a curated record